CCACUGCUGAGCAGUCCCAAAACAGGACGAAACGGCCGUCCAGUGU
Schistosoma haematobium is the source of this 46-nucleotide non-coding RNA. The record is from Rfam. NCBI's taxonomy places the organism in Eukaryota, Metazoa, Platyhelminthes, Trematoda, Strigeidida, Schistosomatidae.